GUGCCAGCAGCCGCGGUAAUACGGAGGGUGCGAGCGUUAUCCGGAAUCACUGGGUUUAAAGGGUGCGUAGGCGGGAUAUUAAGUCAGUGGUGAAAUCUUGUCGCUUAACGAUAAAAUUGCCAAUGAUACUGGUAUUCUUGAAUUGGGUUGAGGUUAGCGGAAUGUGGCAUGUAGCGGUGAAAUGCAUAGAUAUGCCAUGGAACACCAAUUGCGAAGGCAGCUAGCUGGGCCUUGAUUGACGCUGAGGCACGAAAGCGUGGGUAGCGAACAGGAUUAGAUACCCUGGUAGUCCACGCCCUAAACGAUGCUAACUCGAUGUUUGGAGUGAGAACUUUGAGCAUCCAAGGGAAACCGAUAAGUUAGCCACCUGGGGAGUACGACCGCAAGGUUGAA
This 393-nucleotide ribosomal RNA is filed under the name uncultured bacterium. RNAcentral describes it as "bacterial SSU rRNA". It matches the Rfam family "Bacterial small subunit ribosomal RNA", at positions 505 to 898 of the family's 1533-position model. The record is from RNAcentral.